This 644-nucleotide ribosomal RNA is filed under the name Streptomyces sp. 4231_3. Its description in RNAcentral is "bacterial SSU rRNA". It matches the Rfam family "Bacterial small subunit ribosomal RNA", at positions 100 to 758 of the family's 1533-position model. The record is from RNAcentral. Lineage: Bacteria; Bacillati; Actinomycetota; Actinomycetes; Kitasatosporales; Streptomycetaceae.
GAACGGGUGAGUAACACGUGGGCAAUCUGCCCUUCACUCUGGGACAAGCCCUGGAAACGGGGUCUAAUACCGGAUACCACUCCUGCCCGCAUGGGCGGGGGUUGAAAGCUCCGGCGGUGAAGGAUGAGCCCGCGGCCUAUCAGCUUGUUGGUGGGGUAAUGGCCCACCAAGGCGACGACGGGUAGCCGGCCUGAGAGGGCGACCGGCCACACUGGGACUGAGACACGGCCCAGACUCCUACGGGAGGCAGCAGUGGGGAAUAUUGCACAAUGGGCGAAAGCCUGAUGCAGCGACGCCGCGUGAGGGAUGACGGCCUUCGGGUUGUAAACCUCUUUCAGCAGGGAAGAAGCGAAAGUGACGGUACCUGCAGAAGAAGCGCCGGCUAACUACGUGCCAGCAGCCGCGGUAAUACGUAGGGCGCAAGCGUUGUCCGGAAUUAUUGGGCGUAAAGAGCUCGUAGGCGGCUUGUCACGUCGGAUGUGAAAGCCCGAGGCUUAACCUCGGGUCUGCAUUCGAUACGGGCUAGCUAGAGUGUGGUAGGGGAGAUCGGAAUUCCUGGUGUAGCGGUGAAAUGCGCAGAUAUCAGGAGGAACACCGGUGGCGAAGGCGGAUCUCUGGGCCAUUACUGACGCUGAGGAGCGAAA